GACGAACGCUGGCGGCGUGCUUAACACAUGCAAGUCGAACGGAAAGGCCCUUCGGGGUACUCGAGUGGCGAACGGGUGAGUAACACGUGGGUGAUCUGCCCUGCACUUUGGGAUAAGCCUGGGAAACUGGGUCUAAUACCGAAUAGGACCACGCGCUUCAUGGUGUGUGGUGGAAAGCUUUUGCGGUGUGGGAUGGGCCCGCGGCCUAUCAGCUUGUUGGUGGGGUAAUGGCCUACCAAGGCGACGACGGGUAGCCGGCCUGAGAGGGUGACCGGCCACACUGGGACUGAGAUACGGCCCAGACUCCUACGGGAGGCGGCAGUGGGGAAUAUUGCACAAUGGGCGCAAGCCUGAUGCAGCGACGCCGCGUGAGGGAUGACGGCCUUCGGGUUGUAAACCUCUUUCAAUAGGGACGAAGCGCAAGUGACGGUACCUAUAGAAGAAGCACCGGCCAACUACGUG
This 462-nucleotide ribosomal RNA is filed under the name uncultured bacterium. Its description in RNAcentral is "partial 16S ribosomal RNA". It matches the Rfam family "Bacterial small subunit ribosomal RNA", at positions 28 to 507 of the family's 1533-position model. The record is from RNAcentral.